ACGGCUGCAGUUCAUAUGAGUGGCAAUGCUACAACGGCCAAUGUAUUCAAGACUACCAAAGAUGCAACGGCUACUCAGACUGCUACUCUGGCGAAGAUGAAUACAACUGUCAAGACACGUUCCGCUGUUCUAACGGUGACGAGAUCCCCAUGAAGUAUACAUGUGACCGCAUCAUCGACUGCCAGUAUGGCGAAGAUGAGUGGCAGAACUGCAACGAUAAUGAAGUCAAAAGGGACAACAUUGAGUCGUAUCCGCGACGGGAGAAGAUUUUGCCGAAGGAGAAAAAUGAUGAGCAAGACCCGUAGACGUAUCAAGGAAUCAGCCGUCGUCUCGGACUUAUACCGGACAUGGAAUCGACCACGGUACACCGCAUUCUAAUGUCCAUUUGAAAUUUCUUAGAAUUAGUUUGGAUUUUAAGUUUCAUUUUGUUCCCAUUUUUGUUUCCGUUUUUGUUUCGUUCCUUUGAACCUUUUUUCCAAGUUUGAGUUAAUCACGAAUAUUAAUGAUUCAAAUUUUGUGGUUUCAAUUUCAUUAUUUUUGGGCAAUUCCACGGAGAAGCGGAUACGGCUGAAAAGUGGAUAAUUUAUUAAAUCUUUGGAACUGCAAGCAUCACAAUCUCGAAUGUGGUAUUAAAUACAAGGAGACAAAAUACCUCAUUACAACUCACCAAACUUGCUCCGCAUGGCUGUGUUAUAAGUCCUGGUGAGAUGUAUUCAUGGGAGGCAUACAUGUUGAUAUAGGAGCCUAAAGAGCGUUGCUUCAUCUCUUAAACUAACGAAACUCACCGUGGAAUUGCCCAUCUUGUUCCAAUUUUCAUUUUCGUUUUCGUUCCUUUAAGCUUUUUUGUUCCAAAUUCUUUUCGUUUUCGUUCCUUUAAGCUUUUUUGUUCCAAAUUCGAGUUAACCAAGAAUAUUUACUAAUUUGAAUUCUGAAGAAAUAACUCCCACAACUAUGGGAAAGAUGGUACAAUAAAGGGCAUGUCUUUACCAAAGCCCAUCUUAGGAAAAGAGUUUGCGCUGAACGGAACACUUUUUCAUAGAACCAUCGGGCUGUCAAAACAAGAAUCAAGUCAAAUAUAACAGUAAUGCUCUAUAAUCCUCUGUUCCCAAACCUCGCUCCGAAUCAGCCAAUAUUACAAACAUCUGGGGAGACUAUUAAGAAACGCUAGAACUGAAUACAAAAAUAUAUUCCGUCUUUUUGAAAUUGAUAUAGUCAUGAAAAUACUUCCAUCCAAAAAUAAGAUUAAACCACAGAUAAUACAGAUACUUUUAUGAGAAAAUCAUAGUUUAAGUUAUGGACUAAAAUAUGCACUUAGAUAUGGCCUAUAUCAUCAUGUCAAAAGCUUUAACUAUAAAAGACAGCCGUUUAUAGCGAAACAAAUAUACUGUACACUGCAAAAACUGCAGUGUUAAAUUUACACCAUUGGUAUCUAUAUAGGACCAUCUGAUGUUAAA
Patiria miniata (bat star) is the source of this 1454-nucleotide long non-coding RNA. RefSeq lists it as uncharacterized. The transcript has 4 exons. Lineage: Eukaryota; Metazoa; Echinodermata; Asteroidea; Valvatida; Asterinidae. The record is from RefSeq and is a predicted model, not a curated record.